Molecule: long non-coding RNA, 408 nt
Organism: Pipra filicauda (Wire-tailed manakin)
Lineage: Eukaryota; Metazoa; Chordata; Aves; Passeriformes; Pipridae
Exons: 3
Source: RefSeq, a predicted model, not a curated record
GACAAGAUUUACAGUCCACAGAAAAGUCUGAGAAAAGCCUGAUUGAUUUUGAUCUGCUGAAUAAUUAACACACAAGUGAGAGACAAAAAGCCACCAACAGGCGUCUUGAUCCACAACAGUUGUUAAGGAGCAUCCUUACAGUGCAGCUAAUAGGAAGCAAGUCAAAGAGGACAGCUGGUCAUAACCAUAAGGAACUCAGGGCAGCAGCUGAACAUGUACUGGAAGCCAUUUCCUGAGACAGUCACACCCCUCCCAUCACAGAUCCAUACCAGAAGUUUCUCAAUGGACCAGAAGCAGCUGAAGACAGACAAGUGUGAAUAUAAACCUAUGCUGGGUGUUGCAUUUGGCAGAUUUAAAGGCAAGAGCAAGCAUCAGUUUUCAUGCAAAAAGGCUCCACCCACACCCUAA